This is a non-coding RNA of Brassica napus (rape), 90 nucleotides long. Lineage: Eukaryota; Viridiplantae; Streptophyta; Magnoliopsida; Brassicales; Brassicaceae. The record is from Rfam.
GAAAGCUGUGUGCAAUGAAAAAUGCAAGCACGGUUUGGGGAGGGGUUUUUUACUUUUUUUUCAUUUUAACAAGGAAAUUAUCUACUCCAU